Molecule: ribosomal RNA, 599 nt
Filed under: Salmonella enterica subsp. enterica serovar Enteritidis
Lineage: Bacteria; Pseudomonadati; Pseudomonadota; Gammaproteobacteria; Enterobacterales; Enterobacteriaceae
Description: partial 23S ribosomal RNA
Rfam family: Bacterial large subunit ribosomal RNA
Source: RNAcentral
GGGUUGUGAGGUUAAGCGACUAAGCGUACACGGUGGAUGCCCUGGCAGUCAGAGGCGAUGAAGGGCGUGCUAAUCUGCGAUAAGCGCCGGUAAGGUGAUAUGAACCGUUAUAACCGGCGAUACCCGAAUGGGGAAACCCAGUGUGAUUCGUCACACUAUCAUUAACUGAAUCCAUAGGUUAAUGAGGCGAACCGGGGGAACUGAAACAUCUAAGUACCCCGAGGAAAAGAAAUCAACCGAGAUUCCCCCAGUAGCGGCGAGCGAACGGGGAGGAGCCCAGAGCCUGAAUCAGCAUGUGUGUUAGUGGAAGCGUCUGGAAAGGCGCGCGAUACAGGGUGACAGCCCCGUACACAAAAGCGCAUGUGCUGUGAGCUCGAUGAGUAGGGCGGGACACGUGGUAUCCUGUCUGAAUAUGGGGGGACCAUCCUCCAAGGCUAAAUACUCCUGACUGACCGAUAGUGAACCAGUACCGUGAGGGAAAGGCGAAAAGAACCCCGGCGAGGGGAGUGAAAAAGAACCUGAAACCGUGUACGUACAAGCAGUGGGAGCACCCUUUGGGUGUGACUGCGUACCUUUUGUAUAAUGGGUCAGCGACUUAU